GGCCUUAUGGUUGUAAAGCACUUUAAGCGAGGAGGAGGCUACUUUAGUUAAUACCUAGAGAUAGUGGACGUUACUCGCAGAAUAAGCACCGGCUAACUCUGUGCCAGCAGCCGCGGUAAUACAGAGGGUGCGAGCGUUAAUCGGAUUUACUGGGCGUAAAGCGUGCGUAGGCGGCUUAUUAAGUCGGAUGUGAAAUCCCCGAGCUUAACUUGGGAAUUGCAUUCGAUACUGGUGAGCUAGAGUAUGGGAGAGGAUGGUAGAAUUCCAGGUGUAGCGGUGAAAUGCGUAGAGAUCUGGAGGAAUACCGAUGGCGAAGGCAGCCAUCUGGCCUAAUACUGACGCUGAGGUACGAAAGCAUGGGGAGCAAACAGGAUUAGAUACCCUGGUAGUCCAUGCCGUAAACGAUGUCUACUAGCCGUUGGGGCCUUUGAGGCUUUAGUGGCGCAGCUAACGCGAUAAGUAGACCGCCUGGGGAGUACGGUCGCAAGACUAAAACUCAAAUGAAUUGACGGGGGCCCGCACAAGCGGUGGAGCAUGUGGUUUAAUUCGAUGCAACGCGAAGAACCUUACCUGGCCUUGACAUACUAGAAACUUUCCAGAGAUGGAUUGGU
Molecule: ribosomal RNA, 611 nt
Filed under: Acinetobacter baumannii
Lineage: Bacteria; Pseudomonadati; Pseudomonadota; Gammaproteobacteria; Moraxellales; Moraxellaceae
Description: bacterial SSU rRNA
Rfam family: Bacterial small subunit ribosomal RNA
Source: RNAcentral